GUAGCUCAGUGGUAGAGAACAUGCCUUGCAAGCAUGAGGCCCUGGGUUCGAUUCCUCAGC
RNAcentral lists this transfer RNA (60 nucleotides) under Dipodomys ordii (Ord's kangaroo rat). It matches the Rfam family "tRNA", at positions 7 to 64 of the family's 71-position model. From Rfam's summary of the family: Transfer RNA (tRNA) molecules are approximately 80 nucleotides in length. Their secondary structure includes four short double-helical elements and three loops (D, anti-codon, and T loops). Further hydrogen bonds mediate the characteristic L-shaped molecular structure. tRNAs have two regions of fundamental functional importance: the anti-codon, which is responsible for specific mRNA codon recognition, and the 3' end, to which the tRNAs corresponding amino acid is attached (by aminoacyl-tRNA synthetases). tRNAs cope with the degeneracy of the genetic code in two manners: having more than one tRNA (with a specific anti-codon) for a particular amino acid; and 'wobble' base-pairing, i.e. permitting non-standard base-pairing at the 3rd anti-codon position. Lineage: Eukaryota; Metazoa; Chordata; Mammalia; Rodentia; Heteromyidae. The record is from Rfam by way of RNAcentral.